GACGAACGCUGGCGGCGUGCUUAACACAUGCAAGUCGAACGGAAAGGCCCUGCUUUUGUGGGGUGCUCGAGUGGCGAACGGGUGAGUAACACGUGAGUAACCUGCCCUUGACUUUGGGAUAACUUCAGGAAACUGGGGCUAAUACCGGAUAGGAGCUCCUGCUGCAUGGUGGGGGUUGGAAAGUUUCGGCGGUUGGGGAUGGACUCGCGGCCUAUCAGCUUGUUGGUGGGGUAGUGGCUUACCAAGGCUUUGACGGGUAGCCGGCCUGAGAGGGUGACCGGCCACAUUGGGACUGAGAUACGGCCCAGACUCCUACGGGAGGCAGCAGUGGGGAAUAUUGCACAAUGGGCGGAAGCCUGAUGCAGCAACGCCGCGUGCGGGAUGACGGCCUUCGGGUUGUAAACCGCUUUCGCCUGUGACGAAGCGUGAGUGACGGUAAUGGAUAAAGAAGCACCGGCUAACUACGUG
RNAcentral lists this ribosomal RNA (468 nucleotides) under uncultured bacterium. RNAcentral describes it as "partial 16S ribosomal RNA". It matches the Rfam family "Bacterial small subunit ribosomal RNA", at positions 28 to 507 of the family's 1533-position model. The record is from RNAcentral.